GUAGGGAAUAUUGGGCAAUGGAGGCAACUCUGACCCAGCCAUGCCGCGUGCAGGAUGACGGCCCUCUGGGUUGUAAACUGCUUUUAUACGGGAAGAAAAAAUACUACGUGUAGUAUACUGACGGUACCGUAAGAAUAAGGAUCGGCUAACUCCGUGCCAGCAGCCGCGGUAAUACGGAGGAUCCAAGCGUUGUCCGGAGUUAUUGGGUUUAAAGGGUGCGUAGGCGGAUCUUUAAGUCAGUGGUGAAAGCCUGCAGCUUAACUGUAGAAUUGCCAUUGAAACUGAAGAUCUUGAAUGUGGUUAAAGUAGGCGGAAUGUAUCAUGUAGCGGUGAAAUGCUUAGAUAUGAUACAGAACACCGAUAGCGAAGGCAGCUUGCUGAACCAUUAUUGACGCUGAGGCACGAAAGCGUGGGGAGCGAACAGGAUUAGAAACCCUAGUAGUCC
RNAcentral lists this ribosomal RNA (445 nucleotides) under uncultured bacterium. RNAcentral describes it as "bacterial SSU rRNA". It matches the Rfam family "Bacterial small subunit ribosomal RNA", at positions 354 to 796 of the family's 1533-position model. The record is from RNAcentral.